RNAcentral lists this ribosomal RNA (547 nucleotides) under Dictyocoela duebenum (nom. nud.). Its description in RNAcentral is "Dictyocoela duebenum partial small subunit ribosomal RNA". It matches the Rfam family "Microsporidia small subunit ribosomal RNA", at positions 160 to 708 of the family's 1311-position model. Lineage: Eukaryota; Fungi; Microsporidia. The record is from RNAcentral.
GUAAGAUGCCAUCCUAUCAGUUAGUAAGUAGGGUAAGGGCCUACUUAGACGAAGACGGGUACGGGGAAUGAGGGUUUGAUUCCGGAGAGGGAGCCUGAGAGAUGGCUACCAGGACCAAGGUCAGCAGCAGGCGCGAAAAUUAUCGAAGCCCGCCUAGGGGCGAUAGUGAGGAGACGUGUAUACGAAGUACGUGUAAAGACCGUACUAAUAACUGGAGGUCAAGUCUGGUGCCAGCAUCCGCGGUAAUUCCAGCUCCAGGGGUGUCUAUGAUGAUUGCUGCGAUUAAAAAGUCCGUAGUCGAGCUGACUGACUGACCUGCAGUGUGGUUGAUUAAAAGACGAGCAGGGUUAGGAAAGCAGAGAAUUAAGAGCGACCGAGGGCUAGAGUAUUGAAUGGCGAGAGGUGAAAUUUGAUGACCCAUUCAAGAGUGACAAAGGCGAAGGCACUAGUCAAGGGCGAAUCCGAUGAUCAAGGACGUACGCUAGAGUUUCGAAAACGAUUAGAGACCGGAGUAGUUCUAGCAGUAAACUAUGCCGACACCGUGGUA